Molecule: long non-coding RNA, 5936 nt
Filed under: Brassica rapa (field mustard)
Lineage: Eukaryota; Viridiplantae; Streptophyta; Magnoliopsida; Brassicales; Brassicaceae
Description: long non-coding RNA (BRAP_LNC008429)
Source: RNAcentral
AGAUUUGUAGAGUUCUCUUCUCUUGUUGUAUGUGUGCGUGAAUACUCCAAUGGAGAAAGAUGAGAGCUUGUUCUAGGUGAUUUAUGAAGAGAGAUUGAUGAGAGUGUUUAUGAGAGAAUAAGAGACUUAGGAACAAAGAUUAAGAGACUGAGAGAUUAGGAGAAUAAGAGAUUAGAGAUUAGGGUUUGAGAUUCAAGAACAAGUUUAUCAUUUAUGAAGUGGAGAGGGGAAAUCCCCCUUACUCCCUUAGGAGUUACAAAACGUUCACAACAAUGCCUUAUAUAGGCUUUUACACUUUGCAAUCAUAAACCCUUAAUCUAAUGGAUAGAAAUGACUUGAGAAAUGGAUGGCUUGGAUGUAGUCUUGUUUCUGGUCAAAGGGAGCACGAGAUGGUAGCUGAUUGGUGGAGAGGAGCUGCUGCCUGAUUGGUUAUGCUAAGGCUCCCAUGAACCUUUACUCACAUAUGUGUCUAGAUUCAUGGUCCAACUUGCUUUCCCUUUACAUCUCAUGACAGGCUGUCCUUGGACCACGCCCUCUCUCCUUUCCCUUGCUUUCCAACAGUCACAAAGAAGAUAAGGUCGUCUGAUUGCUCUUGGAAACCAACGCCCUAAGUUUGCACAGCUUCUGGUGAGUUUCCCGGAUGUGUGGUCGAGAGGUGUGGUCGUACGGUCGAUGGUACGGAUCUCCUGUCCGUACCACUCGCCCUAUUUAUGCCCAAUACUCUUCCUCCUUCUUCUGAUCAGUCUAAGUCCCUCCUGGACUUAUCUUCACAAGAUAACUACUUCAGAACACUUCUGAAGCUUGAUUGAACUCUUCUGGACAUCUUCUAGAGCUUGCCCUAUCAUUGUACAAGCUCCAUCUUCUCUUCAGUUCAACACUCCCCCUCAAGCUUGACUUUAGGAGAUCCUAAGCCAAGCUUGGAACUCUGAAGAGUCUCCCUCAUUAAAAACCUUACAAGGAAAACCCAUUGGGACAAAACCUUGUAAGGGAAAAAGAGUAGAGCUCUCCAAAGCCUAGGGAUUGGCCAGUGAACUCUUGUGCCUUAGAACCAGUGUGGUUGGACACAAGAAGCUCUGGAUCACGGCCUAACAGGUGCAGCAACUCUUCACAGCUUUGCGCACACUUCACACUUCAGCUUCACCUCUUCAUGGAACCGGUUUGAAGUCUCCCCCUCUCAACUGACUUCACAGCCAUCUUAGAGAAGCUAGGACACGACCAGAUCAUCUUCAAAACACUAGUGAGGCUGAUCAACACUUCACACACGGCUUGCCCUCUUCAUAGAACUGGUUUGGAUCUCCCCCUCUCAACAGACUUCUCAGCCAUCUUAGAGAAGCUAGGAACUGACCAGGAACAUCUUUAGUGAGGCUCAAGCAAUGGUACCUGAUACAUUAUCCCAAAGGUGCAUCAGUACCUAUCAAAAACAAGAAAAUGAAUAUCCUGCAUCACACUUGAUGCACACAAUCUCACAAUUCAAUCAUAAUCAUCUUAAGUAUCUUUUCAAGCACAAGCAAUGAAUAAGAUGAAUGAAAUAGAUUGAAAAGAGUUUUAAAAGUCUAAGGGAACUUCCCUUGUGUUUUUGUGAGUUUCCAAACUCUCUCAAUGCACCAUCUUCAUGGCAUCAUCAACUUCUUGGAAAGGCAGAAUGGAUUCAUCAGCUUCUCCUCAAUCACCUCUCAUUGAAGCCGCAUUGAUGGAGAGCCUUCCUCUUCACUCGCCAAGGCUGCUCUGAACAGCCUCUUGCCUAGACACGCCACUGACUUGGUCCGGUUGAUGAUCCUUGUAGAAGCUUUUGCAAAAGACUUGUUACUGACCAUGGAUCAUAUGCAUUAAGACUCCCCCUCAAGCUUAGAACCGAAACUAGAAGGAGCUAAGCUUGUGAUGAUCCUAUGCAUCUCCAUGGUCUAAUAACUAUCAUCUUUCAUGAUAGCUUUCUUCUUGUGAGUUUACUCUCUUCCUUAACCAGGAACUAGGGUGUUUGAAUCACCAUAGAGAGUCUCACAAAACACACUUCUCAUUGCAUAAUGACCCAUGCUACACUUCCUGUAGUCUUUGGACUGGAUAUGUCCAAUGGUAUUAUGCAAUGGCCAUCUCUCAUGCAUUAUCAAUCACACUACACUUCCUGUAGAUUAUGGACUAACAUGUCCUAGUGAUGAUAUGCAAUGGCACAAGACCUUUGUCACUACAUUCUUAGCUGUUGGCGAGUUACAUGUAUCACUUUCCUUGUGUACCUAACACCACCACAACUCAAUGCAAGAUCAGAUCAUCCCAUUGGGAUCAAACCAAGAUAAUUUAUCCUGUUUGAUCACCAAUGCCACAGCAGAAUAUAAACCUUGAAACAAGCCAAUCAAUCAAGGCAGAACAAGCAGGUUUCAAUCUCUAAAAUGACAAUGCAAGAUUUAAACAAUACAUUGACAAUUUAGGCUUAUUUUUAAAUGCAUCAAUACAUGAAUGCACAAUCCUAAAGCAUUAACUAUAUGAAUGCAACAGGUUCAAUCCAUGAGACAUAUUAAUCAAGACCAAUGAGGCAAGCAACUUAGACAAUUUCUAAGGGUUAGGAGGUUUGCUUACAAACAAGAGAUCCGAGCUGAUCUCUUGAACCUCCAUGGGCACGGUUCACUUGAACUUGGCAGGUUUGAGGCUUGGAUUCAAUAUCCAACACCUCUCCUUGGUGUGCCCAUCCCUCUUGCAAUGUUCACACCGAUUGUUCCUAUCCCUCUUGGCGAGUAAUAGGCAGAACACCUUGUCUUGCUCCCUUCUUUCAAUCAACACCUCCGGAUCAACAGAUUGGGGUCUAAGCAUCUCUAGCUCAGACCAAAGGGCUCUGAACUUGCCUAGAUGCACAGUGAACUCCUCAUCUUCUUGGGAUAGGAUGUUGAUGAACUUCUUGAUCUCAAAUACUCGACAGAGGUUGGAGAUGUACCCAUAUAUCUUGUUAAGUGUACUCCAAAGGUCUUUAGCACUCUCACAGUAUGAGUAUGCUUCAAGGAUGGAUGGAGACAUUGAGCUAUGGAGAAUGGAUAAGACCUUGAGGUCUUCUUGUUCCCACUUCUCCUCAGAUACGGAUUUGGAACCGGAUUCACCAUCUGCUGAGCUUUCAUUUGAACCGGCAGCCUUGGAGAGCUUUGGAGCAUCCGUGAGGCAAUGGCUCCAUAAGCCUCUCCCUCCUAGAGCUGUCUUUACCAUGCGUGACCAGAUGGUCUUGGUUUAAAUUGCCUCACCCUCCUGGUGAUGCUCUUCUUUGUAUGUCAACUGUCCUCUCUACACUCAUCUGAUGUGUAGGCUAUGGUGACUGAACCACCAUGGACAGAACAACAAGUCAUCUCUCCAUUGUCACAACAUCCUCUCUACCCUCUUUGGAGCAGGCUGUGGACUUCCCACAGAAUGUUGGCAACAGGCUUCAUUUUAUCAUUCUAUUGUAAUGAUAAGGAGGAAACAGGUCUUGAACUUUAGCUCUUCAGGUUGCUCAUUUGAAUAUUUAGCACCGCAAGCUUGAGACCGAGAAUAGGUGAGAUCCAAGCUUGAAAUGAGCCUCAAUGAACUUCAAGACCAGGAGCACAUCACCCUAACAGCUGCGCUUAAAUCACUGAUCCACCCUUUUGCCUUUAGCUUCAAGUACCCUCAGAUCACCGGCCUUCCUCAUGGCUUAGGUGGUGACCUUCUUCUUCUUGUGUGUCUUGAACCAGGAGCUCAACAACCUCGUGGCCUGCGCUUCUUAAACCGGCUUCUACACACAAGAACCUUCCCAUUGCUCCACACAAUGGUUGGUCUUCCGCUUGUAUGUCUUGAACCAGGAGCUCAACAACCUCGUGGCCUGCGCUUCUUAAACCAGCUUCUACACACAAGUAUCUUCCCAUUGCUCCACACAAUGGUUCAAGUCUUCCUCUUGUCUUGGAUAGGAGGUGAGCAGAGAACACUUCUUGUGAACCUGAAACACCACUCAAACUCCAGCAAGGAUAAGACACAAGAGUAUUGGGAUCAAUCCUUGAUUAAUCAUCAAGUUUGAUUCCCAAUCUCACAAGCAUUGCAACGAAUUAAAACAAGUCAUUUUCAAGUUCUAUCUUUGCAAGCAAUCUCUCUAAGCACAAGCAUUUUCUUUUUCAGUUUAUGCAAGCUACUUAGGCAUUUUAAAGCUUCUUUACUCAGCAUUUAGACAUGAAUCUAAUGCUUCAAUGUAAGACAGCCACAAGACUAUAUGCAACAGCUUUCAAUUCGGUUUCAAUCCAUGUAUGCAAGCAGAUUCAAUCAAUCACAACAAGCAUCAUUAUGAACCGGAGAUAAGCAUAUUAACAUACCUAGUAAUCCUAGUAAUACUGUUAAAUUACUAGUCCUUUUAAAGCGCUUACACAACUGCUAGUAAACUUAGUAUAACUAGUACACAACAAGCAUCAUUAUGAACCGGAGAUAAGCAUAUUAACAUACCUAGUAAUCCUAGUAAUACUGUUAAAUUACUAGUCCUUUUAAAGCGCUUACACAACUGCUAGUAAACUUAGUAUAACUAGUACACUUAAAGGAUUACUAGGGAACCAAGCUCUUUAAGCAUCCUGGGACAGAUUCUAAAUUCAUUUUAUUUCAUUUAGUAAUCUUUUAAACAGUCCUCAGGUUUUCAAUCACAUUACAACAUCACAACCAGUCAACAACACAAGCUCAUUAUCAAGAUGGUUUAUAGAAUUGCUUACAACAAGGAACCAGGUUGAUUCCUUUUGCAUUUUGUGAAACCGGCCAUGACUGUUGUUGGAACUGAGAGUCUAGAUCAUCACCCACCUCCUUCUCCUUCAGUUCAUGGCCACCAUCUUGUACCAUCAACUCAAAAGACCCCUCCUUUCUUCAGAACAUCUAGGCGCCAAGCUCUUGGCACCAUACUCUUUUAGCCUGAUGUGGAACUUCUCUUGGACAAGGAGCUUUGGAGUCAGGUUAGUUAGGCCUCUCCAUACACCUUUGCCUCCAAGGAUAAUCUCCAUCUGAGCAGGUAGAGAACAGGAUGAGGAACCAAGGGAACUCGCCAAGCUUCAGCCUUCUUCUUCAUAAGGGACUGAACUGGAUGGGAAAGCAUCAAUGGUUUGGUUUUGAGCUGAGGCGUGAGCUGUGGACUUGCGGAAGCUUCAGCUCAGGUUCUGAUGAACCUGGCUCUGAUACCAUAUGAGAUUUGUAGAGUUCUCUUCUCUUGUUGUAUGUGUGCGUGAAUACUCCAAUGGAGAAAGAUGAGAGCUUGUUCUAGGUGAUUUAUGAAGAGAGAUUGAUGAGAGUGUUUAUGAGAGAAUAAGAGACUUAGGAACAAAGAUUAAGAGACUGAGAGAUUAGGAGAAUAAGAGAUUAGAGAUUAGGGUUUGAGAUUCAAGAACAAGUUUAUCAUUUAUGAAGUGGAGAGGGGAAAUCCCCCUUACUCCCUUAGGAGUUACAAAACGUUCACAACAAUGCCUUAUAUAGGCUUUUACACUUUGCAAUCAUAAACCCUUAAUCUAAUGGAUAGAAAUGACUUGAGAAAUGGAUGGCUUGGAUGUAGUCUUGUUUCUGGUCAAAGGGAGCACGAGAUGGUAGCUGAUUGGUGGAGAGGAGCUGCUGCCUGAUUGGUUAUGCUAAGGCUCCCAUGAACCUUUACUCACAUAUGUGUCUAGAUUCAUGGUCCAACUUGCUUUCCCUUUACAUCUCAUGACAGGCUGUCCUUGGACCACGCCCUCUCUCCUUUCCCUUGCUUUCCAACAGUCACAAAGAAGAUAAGGUCGUCUGAUUGCUCUUGGAAACCAACGCCCUAAGUUUGCACAGCUUCUGGUGAGUUUCCCGGAUGUGUGGUCGAGAGGUGUGGUCGUACGGUCGAUGGUACGGAUCUCCUGUCCGUACCACUCGCCCUAUUUAUGCCCAAUACUCUUCCUCCUUCUUCUGAUCAGUCUAAGUCCCUCCUGGACUUAUCUUCACAAGAUAACUACUUCAGAACACUUCUG